AGAGUUUGAUCAUGGCUCAGGAUGAACGCUGGCGGCGUGCUUAACACAUGCAAGUCGAACGAUGAAGCCCAGCUUGCUGGGUGGAUUAGUGGCGAACGGGUGAGUAACACGUGAGCAACCUGCCCCUGACUCUGGGAUAAGCGCUGGAAACGGCGUCUAAUACUGGAUAUGUCCCAUCACCGCAUGGUGUGUGGGUGGAAAGAUUUUUCGGUUGGGGAUGGGCUCGCGGCCUAUCAGCUUGUUGGUGAGGUAAUGGCUCACCAAGGCGUCGACGGGUAGCCGGCCUGAGAGGGUGACCGGCCACACUGGGACUGAGACACGGCCCAGACUCCUACGGGAGGCAGCAGUGGGGAAUAUUGCACAAUGGGCGGAAGCCUGAUGCAGCAACGCCGCGUGAGGGAUGACGGCCUUCGGGUUGUAAACCUCUUUUAGCAGGGAAGAAGCGAAAGUGACGGUACCUGCAGAAAAAGCACCGGCUAACUACGUGCCAGCAGCCGCGGUAAUACGUAGGGUGCAAGUGUUAUCCGGAAUUAUUGGGCGUAAAGAGCUCGUAGGCGGUUUGUCGCGUCUGCUGUGAAAUCCCGAGGCUCAACUUCGGGCUUGCAGUGGGUACGGGCAGACUAGAGUGCGGUAGGGGGAGAUUGGAAUUCCUGGUGUAGCGGUGGAAUGCGCAGAUAUCAGGAGGAACACCGAUGGUGGAAG
RNAcentral lists this ribosomal RNA (702 nucleotides) under Microbacterium sp. Cr4. RNAcentral's name for it is "bacterial SSU rRNA". It matches the Rfam family "Bacterial small subunit ribosomal RNA", at positions 8 to 721 of the family's 1533-position model. Lineage: Bacteria; Bacillati; Actinomycetota; Actinomycetes; Micrococcales; Microbacteriaceae. The record is from RNAcentral.